Molecule: long non-coding RNA, 522 nt
Organism: Homo sapiens (human)
Lineage: Eukaryota; Metazoa; Chordata; Mammalia; Primates; Hominidae
Product: MIR3681 host gene
Source: Ensembl
ACACAUUCUAACUCUGUCUCAGAGAGUUGGAGUAAGGUUAAAAUGGGAAAAUAUGUAUGUGUGCUACCAACCAUCAUAUAGAAGAGGCUGUUGCAAUUAGGAUGGCGAAUGGUGAAAAACAGUGUGGUUGAAUUGAACAUAAGCUGAAGGGCUAGACAUCAUGGCUUCAAUCCUUGUGGAGAUGCCUUUGGAUAAUUUCUGCUUGCUAAAGAGGCGGGGCCUUAGUCCUCAUCGGCCGAUGGUUUGGAGACUGAAUCAACUAUCUGACUAUUACUCAAGAGUGAGGUUAAUGACCCUGCAGGAGCCAGGAAGAAGCAAGAGAAAUCUCAGGGAGCUCAGAACACAAAGCCUGAUGAUGAGAAAAAAAUGUUAAGAGAGCAGCACCCAGCUCAAAGGUGGAGACAUCGUGACAAAAUGAACUCAGGAGCAAAUACAGGGAUUUUGCUCUCACUGUGAGCAGCAUGGAGGCCCUCAUUCUGAGCCCUAACUCCUUGAGGGAAAUAGAGAAUCGAAUAAAUCUCA